CUUAAAUUGAAGAGUUUGAUCAUGGCUCAGAUUGAACGCUGGCGGCAGGCCUAACACAUGCAAGUCGAGCGGAAACGACACUAACAAUCCUUCGGGUGCGUUAAUGGGCGUCGAGCGGCGGACGGGUGAGUA
RNAcentral lists this ribosomal RNA (132 nucleotides) under Vibrio tasmaniensis. Its description in RNAcentral is "partial 16S ribosomal RNA". It matches the Rfam family "Bacterial small subunit ribosomal RNA", at positions 1 to 112 of the family's 1533-position model. The record is from RNAcentral. Lineage: Bacteria; Pseudomonadati; Pseudomonadota; Gammaproteobacteria; Vibrionales; Vibrionaceae.